Molecule: ribosomal RNA, 253 nt
Filed under: uncultured bacterium
Lineage: Bacteria
Description: partial 16S ribosomal RNA
Rfam family: Bacterial small subunit ribosomal RNA
Source: RNAcentral
UACGUAGGUGGCAAGCGUUGUCCGGAUUUACUGGGCGUAAAGAGCGCGCAGGCGGUCGUUCAAGUCGGGUGUGAAAGCCCCCGGCUCAACUGGGGAGGGUCAUUCGAUACUGAUCGACUCGAAGGCAGGAGAGGGUAGUGGAAUUCCCGGUGUAGUGGUGAAAUGCGUAGAUAUCGGGAGGAACACCAGUGGCGAAGGCGACUACCUGGCCUGUUCUUGACGCUGAGGCGCGAAAGCUAGGGGAGCAAACGGG